CACUGGAUCCAGAUGGUUCUGGAGGAGAAGACACCAAGAAUAUGGAUUUACAAGAUGGUUGCUUCGGAGUUGGGAGUGGGAAUAAAGAAGCUAACAAUAUUAUUGCCAAAAAAAGAAACAAAGAAAAUACAGUCAUUAAAUCAUUUAAAAGAAAAUUCCUAGAAGAGAACAAAAGGAAAUUCAGAUGGAAACAGACAAUCAGGGCAGCUUUAAAAGUAAUAGAGAAUUUAUUUUGUAAUUUUUUAAAAGGCAUUGUUGUAUGUUUGGACAUGUAUACUUAUAUUGUAUUUAAUUUA
Long non-coding RNA from Sarcophilus harrisii (Tasmanian devil), 296 nucleotides. RefSeq lists it as uncharacterized. The record is from RefSeq and is a predicted model, not a curated record. Lineage: Eukaryota; Metazoa; Chordata; Mammalia; Dasyuromorphia; Dasyuridae. The transcript has 3 exons.